UAAUACCGUAUAACAAUCGAAACCGCAUGGUUUUGAUUUGAAAGGCGCUUUCGGGUGUCGCUGAUGGAUGGACCCGCGGUGCAUUAGCUAGUUGGUGAGGUAACGGCUCACCAAGGCGACGAUGCAUAGCCGACCUGAGAGGGUGAUCGGCCACAUUGGGACUGAGACACGGCCCAAACUCCUACGGGAGGCAGCAGUAGGGAAUCUUCGGCAAUGGACGAAAGUCUGACCGAGCAACGCCGCGUGAGUGAAGAAGGUUUUCGGAUCGUAAAACUCUGUUGUUAGAGAAGAACAAGGAUGAGAGUAACUGUUCAUCCCUUGACGGUAUCUAACCAGAAAGCCACGGCUAACUACGUGCCAGCAGCCGCGGUAAUACNUANGUGGCAAGCGUUGUCCGGAUUUAUUGGGCGUAAAGCGAGCGCAGGCGGUUUCUUAAGUCUGAUGUGAAAGCCCCCGGCUCAACCGGGGAGGGUCAUUGGAAACUGGGAGACUUGAGUGCAGA
Molecule: ribosomal RNA, 502 nt
Filed under: uncultured bacterium
Lineage: Bacteria
Description: bacterial SSU rRNA
Rfam family: Bacterial small subunit ribosomal RNA
Source: RNAcentral